Molecule: transfer RNA, 77 nt
Filed under: Candidatus Jacksonbacteria bacterium
Lineage: Bacteria; Candidatus Jacksoniibacteriota
Description: tRNA-Thr
Rfam family: tRNA
About the family: Transfer RNA (tRNA) molecules are approximately 80 nucleotides in length. Their secondary structure includes four short double-helical elements and three loops (D, anti-codon, and T loops).
Source: RNAcentral
GCCCAUGUAGCUCAGAUAGGUAGAGCAACUCCAUGGUAAGGAGUAGGUCCGCGGUUCAAAUCCGCGCGUGGGCUCCA